RNAcentral lists this ribosomal RNA (405 nucleotides) under uncultured bacterium. RNAcentral's name for it is "bacterial SSU rRNA". It matches the Rfam family "Bacterial small subunit ribosomal RNA", at positions 355 to 776 of the family's 1533-position model. The record is from RNAcentral.
UGGGGAAUAUUGCACAAUGGGGGAAACCCUGAUGCAGCGACGCCGCGUGAAGGAAGAAGGUCUUCGGAUUGUAAACUUCUGUCGACAGGGAAGAGAAAGGACAGUACCUGUGGAGGAAGCCACGGCUAACUACGUGCCAGCAGCCGCGGUAAUACGUAGGUGGCGAGCGUUGUCCGGAAUUACUGGGUGUAAAGGGCGCGUAGGCGGUCAAUUAAGUUGCAUGUGAAAACCCAUGGCUCAACUGUGGGAAUGCAAGCAAAACUGGUUGACUUGAGUACAGGAGAGGUAAGUGGAAUUCCUAGUGUAGCAGUGAAAUGCGUAGAUAUUAGGAGGAACACCAGUGGCGAAGGCGACUUACUGGACUGAAACUGACGCUGAGGCGCGAAAGUGUGGGUAGCAAACAGG